RNAcentral lists this transfer RNA (95 nucleotides) under Enhygromyxa salina. Its description in RNAcentral is "tRNA-Arg". Lineage: Bacteria; Pseudomonadati; Myxococcota; Nannocystales; Nannocystaceae. The record is from RNAcentral.
UCAUCAUCGUGGACUUUGGCACCGCGACGACCUUCGAUGUCGUCUCGCCGACACCCGAAUACCUCGGGGGCGUGAUCUCCCCGGGCGUGGGGAUC